This 457-nucleotide ribosomal RNA is filed under the name uncultured bacterium. RNAcentral describes it as "partial 16S ribosomal RNA". It matches the Rfam family "Bacterial small subunit ribosomal RNA", at positions 338 to 795 of the family's 1533-position model. The record is from RNAcentral.
CCUACGGGUGGCAGCAGUGGGGAAUAUUGCACAAUGGGGGGAACCCUGAUGCAGCGACGCCGCGUGGGUGAAGGAGCACCUCGGUGCGUAAAGCCCUAUCGGCAGGGAAGAAAGGCGGGCGGGGCGCGUCUGGACGGUACCUAACUAAGAAGCCCCGGCUAACUACGUGCCAGCAGCCGCGGUAAUACGUAGGGGGAAAGCGUUAUCCGGAUUCACUGGGUGUAAAGGGAGCGUAGACGGCGACGCAAGUCUGGAGUGAAAGCCCGGGGCCCAACCCCGGGACUGCUCUGGAAACUGAGGCGCUGGAGUACGGGAGGGGCAGGCGGAAGUCCUGGUGUAGCGGUGAAAUGCGUAGAUAUCAGGAGGAACACCGGCGGCGAAGGCGGCCUGCUGGACCGUGACUGACGUUGAGGCUCGAGAGCGUGGGGAGCAAACAGGAUUAGAUACCCGUGUAGUC